AACAGAGUGAGAAAUGAAGACUUUCCUCCAAUUCCUUAUUAUUGCAGUGAAGACCUCAGAUCCAACUCUGAUCUCACUCUUGU
This is a small nucleolar RNA of Nothoprocta perdicaria, 83 nucleotides long. The record is from Ensembl. NCBI's taxonomy places the organism in Eukaryota, Metazoa, Chordata, Aves, Tinamiformes, Tinamidae.